This 635-nucleotide ribosomal RNA is filed under the name uncultured Marinobacter sp. RNAcentral's name for it is "bacterial SSU rRNA". It matches the Rfam family "Bacterial small subunit ribosomal RNA", at positions 870 to 1504 of the family's 1533-position model. The record is from RNAcentral. Lineage: Bacteria; Pseudomonadati; Pseudomonadota; Gammaproteobacteria; Pseudomonadales; Marinobacteraceae.
CGCCUGGGGAGUGCGGCCGCAAGGUUAAAACUCAAAUGAAUUGACGGGGGCCCGCACAAGCGGUGGAGCAUGUGGUUUAAUUCGACGCAACGCGGAGAACCUUACCUGGUCUUGACAUCCAGAGAACUUUCCAGAGAUGGAUUGGUGCCUUCGGGAACUCUGAGACAGGUGCUGCAUGGCCGUCGUCAGCUCGUGUCGUGAGAUGUUGGGUUAAGUCCCGUAACGAGCGCAACCCCUAUCCCUGGUUGCUAGCAGGUAAUGCUGAGAACUCCAGGGAGACUGCCGGUGACAAACCGGAGGAAGGUGGGGAUGACGUCAGGUCAUCAUGGCCCUUACGGCCAGGGCUACACACGUGCUGCAAUGGCGCGUACAGAGGGCUGCCAACUCGCGAGAGUGAGCCAAUCCCUUAAAACGCGUCGUAGUCCGGAUCGGAGUCUGCAACUCGACUCCGUGAAGUCGGAAUCGCUAGUAAUCGCGAAUCAGAAUGUCGCGGUGAAUACGUUCCCGGGCCUUGUACACACCGCCCGUCACACCAUGGGAGUGGAUUGCACCAGAAGUAGUUAGUCUAACCUUCGGGAGGACGAUUACCACGGUGUGGUUCAUGACUGGGGUGAAGUCGUAACAAGGUAACCGUA